Molecule: transfer RNA, 73 nt
Organism: Fistulina hepatica ATCC 64428
Lineage: Eukaryota; Fungi; Basidiomycota; Agaricomycetes; Agaricales; Fistulinaceae
Rfam family: tRNA
About the family: Transfer RNA (tRNA) molecules are approximately 80 nucleotides in length. Their secondary structure includes four short double-helical elements and three loops (D, anti-codon, and T loops).
Source: Rfam
GCCCAUGUGGCGCAAUGGUUAGCGCGUCGCUUUCCUAAGGCGAAGGUUGUGGGUUCGAGUCCCACCUUGGGUU